RNAcentral lists this ribosomal RNA (1401 nucleotides) under uncultured bacterium. RNAcentral describes it as "16S ribosomal RNA". It matches the Rfam family "Bacterial small subunit ribosomal RNA". The record is from RNAcentral.
AGAGUUUGAUCCUGGCUCAGGAUGAACGCUAGCUACAGGCUUAACACAUGCAAGUCGAGGGGCAGCGUGGGGUAGCAAUACUCCCACGGACACCGGCGAAUGGGUGAGUAACACGUAUCCAACCUACCUCUGGCUCAGGGAUAGCCCUUAAAAAAGAUGAUUAAUACCUGAUGGUGUCGCAUGAUCUCAUGACAGCGCGACUAAAGAUUCAUCGGCGAGGGAUGGGGAUGCAUCUGAUUAGUUAGUUGGCGGGGUAACGGCCCACCAAGACGACGAUCAGUAGGGGUUCUGAGAGGAAGGUCCCCCUCAUUGGUACUGACACACCGACCACACUCCUACGGGAGGCAGCAGUGAUGAAUAUUGGUCAAUGGGCGCAAGCCUGAACCAUCCAAGUAGCGUGAAGGAUGACCGCCCUAUGGGUUGUAAACUUCUUUUGUCGGGGGAUAAAGCGGGCCACGUGUGGCCCUUUGCACGUACCCGAUGAAUAACGACCGGCUAAUUCCGUGCCAGCAGCCGCGGUAAUACGAAGGGUCGGAGGGGUUUUCCGGAUUUUUUGGGUUUAAAGGGGGGGGGGGGGGUUGGUAAUUCAACCGGAAAAUCCGGGGGGCUCAAUCUCCUUCCAGCGGCUUGAUAUUUUCUUUCUUGAGUGCACAAGAGGCAGGUGGAGUACGAGGAGUAGCGGUGAAAUACUCAGAUAUCUCGAUGAGCUCCGAGUGCGAAGGCAGCUCUCUGGGGUGCAUCUGACACUGAGGGUCGAAGGUGCGGGUAUCAUCACACGAUUAGAUACCCUGGUAGUCCGCACAGCAAACUAUGGAUGCUCGCCAUGCCAGGACUAGAUUCUACCUCCGCGUCGCGAAAGCGUUAAGCAUCCCACCUGGGGGAGUGCGCCGGCACCGGAGAAACUCAAAGGAAAAGACGGGGGCCCGCACACGCGGAGGAACACGUGGUUUAAUUUGAUGAUACGCGAGGAGCCCUACCCCGGCGCGAAAGGCAGUCGACGGAGCUCAGAGACGAGCUCUUCCUUCGGGCGGCUGUGUAGGUGCGGCACGGUGGUGUUCAGCUCGUGCCUCGAGGGGUCGGGGUAAGAGCCACAACGAGCGCAACCCCCAUCGUUGGUUACCAUCGCGUAAAGCCGGGGACUCCAGCGACACUGCCAUCGCAAGAUGUGAGGAAGGCGGGGAUGACGUCAAAUCAGCACGGCCCUUACGUCCGGGGCGACACACGUGUUACAAUGGGGGGCACAGAAAGAAGGUCGGUGGCGACACAGGCCGAAUCCUCAAAUCCCCUCCCAGUUCGGACUGGAGUCUGCAACCCGACUCCACGAAGCUGGAUUCGCUAGUAAUCGCGCAUCAGCCAUGGCGCGGUGAAUACGUUCCCGGGCCUUGCACACACCGCCCGUCA